RNAcentral lists this long non-coding RNA (543 nucleotides) under Rattus norvegicus (Norway rat). Its description in RNAcentral is "long non-coding RNA NONRATT009854". Lineage: Eukaryota; Metazoa; Chordata; Mammalia; Rodentia; Muridae. The record is from RNAcentral.
CGGCCGCACUACAUGACACUCUGGACCGAGCAGCCUGGGAGUCUCCUGCUUGACUGAGCACGCAGUCCUGAGGCGCUUACAGGUGGUGGAUGGAUGGAUGCCCCUCUGUACUGGGGCUGCUUCCCCAUGAGUGCGGCUUUAGAAUCUGUCAUUCUCCACUGCUGCAGGGCCUGCAGGUGACUGCACACCACCCUGCACUCUGGGACCAACAGUUCGCAAGACAUUCUUCAUCUGCCUGCCUAAGGGCAGGUGGAGGGUGGUAGAUUCCUGUGAUGGAAUCAUGUAAUCUGCAGGAAUACACUGUUAGGUUGUAAAGUGCUGGACUCCGGGACACCGCUCUGUCAUUCUUCUGAGCAGGAGCAUGCUUAUACCAAAAUGACAGAAGACGUUGGCCAAGACGAUCACCAAACAGGAAGCCUGCGGUCUUGCAGUUCUUCGGACUGCUUUAGCAAAGUGAUGCCGCCCAGGAAAAAGAGAAGACCUGCCUCUGGAGACGACUUAUCUGCCAAAAAAAGCAGGCAUGACAGGUAGGAUACAAAGGCC